Molecule: ribosomal RNA, 129 nt
Filed under: Danio rerio (zebrafish)
Lineage: Eukaryota; Metazoa; Chordata; Actinopteri; Cypriniformes; Danionidae
Source: RNAcentral
GGUGGCAGUGCUAACCACUGCCUGUGUAUCAUAACUGUUUCAAAAUGAAGCUCACUGAAGCUAAGCAGUGCUGUGCCUGGUCAGUACCUGGACGGGAGACCACAUGGGAAAGUUAGGUUACUGCCAGAA